This 254-nucleotide ribosomal RNA is filed under the name uncultured bacterium. RNAcentral describes it as "partial 16S ribosomal RNA". It matches the Rfam family "Bacterial small subunit ribosomal RNA", at positions 524 to 776 of the family's 1533-position model. The record is from RNAcentral.
UACGAAGGGUGCAAGCGUUACUCGGAAUUACUGGGCGUAAAGCGUGCGUAGGUGGUUUGUUAAGUCUGUUGUGAAAUCCCCGGGCUUAACCUGGGAACUGCAUUGGUGACUGGCGGGCUUGAGUGUGGCAGAGGGGGGUGGAAUUCCGCGUGUAGCAGUGAAAUGCGUAGAGAUGCGGAGGAUACACCGAUGGCGAAGGCAGCCCCCUGGGCUAACACUGACGCUGAGGCACGAAAGCGUGGGGAGCAAACAGG